RNAcentral lists this long non-coding RNA (1159 nucleotides) under Takifugu rubripes (torafugu). RNAcentral's name for it is "lncRNA (ENSTRUG00000028718.1)". The record is from RNAcentral. Lineage: Eukaryota; Metazoa; Chordata; Actinopteri; Tetraodontiformes; Tetraodontidae.
CUUAUUAAUUUAUAUAUUAAAAAUGUAAAGUAAGCAAGUCGUCACCAGAGAGUUUAUCUCGUUCAUCUUAAAAACUUCGGUAUCGUGCCGCCCUAAUGUGGAACUUUUGCUCCAGAAAAGCAACAUUUACAUGGACUGUAAUUAAGGCAGAUUUUAGUAUUUCUCAAUAACAUUAUUUAUUAACAUUGUUCAGUCUAAUAAUGAAUAGAUAUUAAAGCAGAGAACUGGUAGAAACAUAAUAAAAAAUGAGUUUUAAACAAUAUUCCACCUAAACUGGAAUUUAAGCCAGCCAGUAACACACCCAUAAUACUUAUUAAUAACAAUAAAAUGGAAGCACAGUUACCACUUUCUAAGCUUUUAAACGGUAUUUGGCUUGUUGUAGGUUGAAGCCAAAGCCAACAGUUCAGCAUCAUGUCUUUUUACCCUCACAGUUCUCCACUUAAUAGACGGUCAAAUCAACAUUUUCCAACCUUUUAAACCACACUGACCAAUUGGCGCAUAACUAAUCACCCAAAAGACAAACAGCUGUUGAAAUAAGAUCCACGCCCAUUACAGCGCCCUCCGUGCACCUCCUUCUCUGUCUUUCUGCCAGUCUUCAUAAUUCAUCUCGUGGUCCCCUCUUUUGGGAGGCGCCUCUGCCAGCCAACUUUACAUGUCUCGUCAUUACUUUCUGCCACUGAGACAGAGACAUAAAACAUUCAGGUGUGCUUUCCUGGGAGCAGCCACGCCGUGAACCGUGGAAUAAGUUAAACAUACGGCGAAGGGAAGCAGCCUGUCAGAGGUGAGACUGGCAGGAGCGAUGCAGAGAGGGGUGUUUUCUCCUGCGCGCUGCUGCCUGCGGGUGAGUGACGGGCGGCCGAAGAGAUGCUGUCACACGGCUGGAACAUGAUGGAAGCUCCUGCGUCUCCUUGGAAAAGGAACACAGGCCUUCAGACUUGCAGAACACGGCAUGCGGGUGUGUUUUGUGUGCAGAUGCAUCCCGUCUUUUUCAUUAGCUGACUGGUCCUGAUGGAUGGAUAUACACGGAAGCAAUUUUUCUGGCACCUCAAAGUCCUGAUUCCUGGGUAAAUGUUCAUGCUAGCAUGUUCAAAGCUGCAUUUAUGGUAAAUGACAUCUGUCAGACAAACGUCAGAGGGUGCGGCACACAUCUGUAGCCACC